Molecule: long non-coding RNA, 413 nt
Organism: Sarcophilus harrisii (Tasmanian devil)
Lineage: Eukaryota; Metazoa; Chordata; Mammalia; Dasyuromorphia; Dasyuridae
Exons: 3
Source: RefSeq, a predicted model, not a curated record
CUGAGCAACCGCGUCACCGGAAAUCAUGCACGCCCCCCGCUCCCGCGCCACCUCAGCGAGGCGCGGCUGCCAAGUGGCAGAGGCCAGAGUGGAAGCGGCCAGUGCAGACCUCCCGGAGCCGCCGGAGACGCCCGAGCCCCGAGCCCCGAGCCCGGCCGUGCACGCCCCCGCCCCGCCCGGUCCGGAGACCAACGUGCCUGCCUGCAGCUGUCUCUGCUUUCUUACUUUAAGUGGUGGGAGCUUAGUGGUAUAAGCAAUGGCCUCUGAACUCUUAACAGCCAGGGUGCACCAGGAGAUGCUGACAUUCAGAGAUGUGGCUGUGGGCUUCACCCAGGAGGAGUGGGGACACUUGCACCCAUAUCAGAAGGCUCUCUACCGGGAUGUGAUGCUGGAGAACUACCAGAACCUGGUUU